AGAGUUUGAUCCUGGCUCAGGAUGAACGCUGGCGGCGUGCUUAACACAUGCAAGUCGAACGAUCCUUCGGGAUAGUGGCGGACGGGUGAGUAACGCGUGGGAAUCUGCCCUCAGGAGGGGGAUAACGGCUGGAAACGGCUGCUAAUACCCCAUAUGCCGAGAGGUGAAAUGAAUUUCGCCUGAGGAUGAGCCCGCGUCUGAUUAGCUAGUUGGUGGGGUAAAGGCCUACCAAGGCGACGAUCAGUAGCUGGUCUGAGAGGAUGAUCAGCCACACUGGGACUGAGACACGGCCCAGACUCCUACGGGAGGCAGCAGUGGGGAAUUUUCCGCAAUGGGCGAAAGCCUGACGGAGCAACGCCGCGUGAGGGAUGAAGGCCUCUGGGCUGUAAACCUCUUUUCUCAAGGAAGAAGAACUGACGGUACUUGAGGAAUAAGCCACGGCUAAUUCCGUGCCAGCAGCCGCGGUAAUACGGGAGUGGCAAGCGUUAUCCGGAAUUAUUGGGCGUAAAGCGUCCGCAGGCGGCCUUGUAAGUCUGUUGUUAAAGCGUGGAGCUCAACUCCAUUUAAGCAAUGGAAACUACAAGGCUGGAGUGUGGUAGGGGCAGAGGGAAUUCCCGGUGUAGCGGUGAAAUGCGUAGAUAUCGGGAAGGACACCAGUGGCGAAGGCGCUCUGCUGGGCCAUAACUGACGCUCAUGGACGAAAGCCAGGGGAGCGAAAGGGAUUAGAUACCCCUGUAGUCCUGGCCGUAAACGAUGAACACUAGGUGUCGGGGGAAUCGACCCCCUCGGUGUCGUAGCCAACGCGUUAAGUGUUCCGCCUGGGGAGUACGCACGCAAGUGUGAAACUCAAAGGAAUUGACGGGGGCCCGCACAAGCGGUGGAGUAUGUGGUUUAAUUCGAUGCAACGCGAAGAACCUUACCAGGGUUUGACAUCCUGCGAAUCCCUUGGAAACGAGGGAGUGCCUUCGGGAGCGCAGUGACAGGUGGUGCAUGGCUGUCGUCAGCUCGUGUCGUGAGAUGUUGGGUUAAGUCCCGCAACGAGCGCAACCCACGUCUUUAGUUGCCAGCAUUCAGUUGGGCACUCUAGAGAGACCGCCGGUGAUAAACCGGAGGAAGGUGUGGAUGACGUCAAGUCAUCAUGCCCCUUACAUCCUGGGCUACACACGUACUACAAUGCUACGGACAAAGGGCAGCAAGCUCGCGAGAGUUAGCAAAUCCCAUAAACCGUGGCUCAGUUCAGAUCGUAGGCUGCAACUCGCCUACGUGAAGGAGGAAUCGCUAGUAAUCGCAGGUCAGCAUACUGCGGUGAAUACGUUCCCGGGCCUUGUACACACCGCCCGUCACACCAUGGAAGUUGGCCAUGCCCGAAGUCGUUACUCCAACCCUUGUGGAGGAGGACGCCGAAGGUGGGGCUGAUGACUGGGGUGAAGUCGUAACAAGGUA
RNAcentral lists this ribosomal RNA (1443 nucleotides) under metagenome. RNAcentral's name for it is "bacterial SSU rRNA". It matches the Rfam family "Bacterial small subunit ribosomal RNA". The record is from RNAcentral.